UGCGUUUUUAGCUCAGUUGGAUAGAGCAACGGCCUUCUAAGCCGUGUGCCAGGGGUUCGAAUCCCUUAAGACGCACCAA
This 79-nucleotide transfer RNA is filed under the name Clostridium carboxidivorans P7. RNAcentral's name for it is "tRNA-Arg". It matches the Rfam family "tRNA". Rfam says of the family: Transfer RNA (tRNA) molecules are approximately 80 nucleotides in length. Their secondary structure includes four short double-helical elements and three loops (D, anti-codon, and T loops). Further hydrogen bonds mediate the characteristic L-shaped molecular structure. tRNAs have two regions of fundamental functional importance: the anti-codon, which is responsible for specific mRNA codon recognition, and the 3' end, to which the tRNAs corresponding amino acid is attached (by aminoacyl-tRNA synthetases). tRNAs cope with the degeneracy of the genetic code in two manners: having more than one tRNA (with a specific anti-codon) for a particular amino acid; and 'wobble' base-pairing, i.e. permitting non-standard base-pairing at the 3rd anti-codon position. The record is from RNAcentral. Lineage: Bacteria; Bacillati; Bacillota; Clostridia; Eubacteriales; Clostridiaceae.